This is a long non-coding RNA of Acinonyx jubatus (cheetah), 5068 nucleotides long. RefSeq lists it as uncharacterized. The record is from RefSeq and is a predicted model, not a curated record. NCBI's taxonomy places the organism in Eukaryota, Metazoa, Chordata, Mammalia, Carnivora, Felidae. The transcript is spliced from 3 exons.
CUGGCCAUUGGCCUGAACUAUGGCAAGAGUUCCCACUGGGCAACUGCCCCCUGCUCUCAGACUCAAACUGCCACCCAAGAGUGGGCACAAGUCUACAGUGGGCGAUGUCUUGGUAGGGGGCGUUCUGAGUGGGCAAGUGGAGAGCAGCGGGCAGGGGGUGCACAGGACAGAUGGAGCCUGCUGAGUCCCUUUGUAGGACCUCCUUACCUACUCUGGGAUGAGCACAAGAUCAUACCACAUCAAACCCAACUGCUAUGCUAUCGUGGAAGAGACUUAUUGAUUUGUCCAGAGGCUUUGUAUUUAAUGGGGGAAGACUGUGCAAGGGAGAUAAAGGUGAGAAAUUUCUCCUCGUCCAGCAUCCCUGGCUACAGCUGUGGAGCCUCCAUCAUUCCAUCCUCUUUCCAAAUUUUCCAGGUACUAAGGACUGGGUACCUUUGUGUCCCACAACCAGAAACUGGGUCCUGAAGUGGGGAAGAAGUCUGGUUCCAUCCUCAGGGAGCUCCCAGUCUGAUGGGGAUGCUAACAUCUCCUGUCCUCAGGGAGUUCCCAAUCUGGCGGGGACAGACUCAGCCCCUGACCUCAGGGAGCUUCUAGUCUGAUAGGAGAUGCAUGGUCAUUGUCCUCAGGAGCUCCUAGUCUUGAUGGGGGAGAUGCAGCCCGUGCCCUCAGCUCCCAGUCUGAUGGAAGGGGCAAACCCCCUGCUCUUAGGGAGUUCCCUGAUGCCAUCCUGAGAAGGGCUGGCACUGGGUCCCAAGGCAGAAAAGCCCCCAGCUGGCAGUCCCUCUGCAGUAAGUAUCCAGUCUCAGGAAGGCAGUGUAUUCUUGAGGCAGAGAAGGGCCCAGGGGAAUGAGGAAAUUAGAUGCCACAUGCCCUAUGAAGGGAAGGGUGGGGCUGGCCAGCUGGGUGGGAGAAAACAGGGAGCUAGCCCAGGACUCGGGCCUGGUCACCAUCACUUAUGGGCCCUGAUGUCCUCACUCCCUGCUGUGGCAGGAGCGUCAUUCCCAUUUCUCACAGGUGUAAGCCAAGGCCCAGGACAAGGCCCAGACAGACUCAGGCAGAAGGUCCCUGCUGUUCAUUCUGUUCUCCCCCUGGCUCCCCCGGAGCCAUGGAGGGAAACAUGGCUGGGGCCCCAGGCUCAGAGCAGAUAGGCUGGUCCCGAAACAAAGAGACUGGAAGAAAGGGUGGGGAUUAUUGCAUGGUGCUCUAUGUGCCCUUGUACCACAGGCAGUGCCCUGCACCUAGGACAGGCUCACAGGUCUGUGUGGUUUGGGGCUCUGUUCUGCUGCUAGCAACCUGCUCUCAGAGGGAUCAAAUGGUAGACACCUGUGUGCACACCACCCCUCAAUUCCAGCCUGUUCCUUCUGAUGCACUUUGUUAUCAGGAGGUGGGCCUGAGGACUGUUCAUCUCACCAGCACAGCCCAGCAUCGUCCCCACCAGGCCGCGAGCUCUCUGAAGGCAGGUGCCAAGUUUUCCUCCUCUGGAAGUUGGGGGCUUGGUGGAGCUGGACAGAGAAGUCCUAGCAAGGGGGCCUUUAGUCCUCCCAGGCCCCCUGCUUAUCUCUCUGGAAAGAUGGUUCAGGCAAGACCCACAAUCUUCUCCCACAUGAGCCCUUCCUAGGACUGAACACCCCUGAAGGCGAGAGAAUAGGAACAGAGAUGCUUUGGGGGGUGGAAGGCAUUUCUGGGGAAUGAUGAGCUUAGGGAGGCCCCUGCCUCCCAUCAGCCCUUCCUCUACCCCAACCCAGCGACCAUCCUUUUGAUCCUUUCCCCCUUCUGCACACCAUGUUCCACCUGGUGGGUGCAGGUUAGCUUUUCCAGUGGGCUCUGGGUUGGAGGGCAUGUGUACGUGCACGCACAUGCAUGUCUGUGUGUGUGUGCCCAUCUGUCCUGGGGAGCAAUAAUAGUUAAUAAAUAAGUGAAUGGCAAAAAUAGCCUCAAAGGAGCUGACAGGCAGAAGGCCAGAGCAGCCGGGCAUGGGGCCAGCACCCUGAAAUGCCAAAUGUUAAUUUAGCCAAAAAGAAAAAAGGUCCAUUUCAAGACCGCCUCCAUUAGCCAGGGUCAGGGUCUGUUGUGGUUUCUGGUGCUGGCACAGCCCCUCCCCAGGCAUCCUGAGUGCAGCCCAGGCACAGGGGGCCCCUUGCACAGUGUUAGGGUAGCAGGACUGGAGGGAAGGGGCCCAGUCUGGGGCACACGAGUCUAUGAACAGGCAGGAAGCCGGCAGGCCACUUCCCAGCAGUCCUCCAACAGUCCACCCAGCUGGCCAGCCCUGCGUCCCCCCCCCCACCCCCCCUGCAAGGUCUAACCAGCUGGGGGAAUGUUCUGGACUUCAUCACCAAUCUCUUGCCCAGGCAUGGGCCCUACCCCACCUGGACACUCACUUAGGGGCAAGGGAUGUGAUUCAAUGUCCUGGCUGUCACUCGCCCUCAGGCCAGAUCCCUCGAGUGUCUCAUUUGGCUUCUCUCAGGCCUUCUCCCCAACAGUCCUCACCAACCCAGAGCACUCUCCACGCUGAGGCCUCUGCUGGCCUGUGGGCGGUUUUGUUGUCCUUUGCUGCAUGAGUACAUGUCUUAAUGAAGUUACAGAAAGAAGCACAUCUGGGAGAAGCAGAUGUGUGUCCCUCUCUUCCCCAGUGGCUUCUACUCUUUAAAAACCACUCUCAGUUUAUUUACCGGCCUCUCUAGAACAGUCCUCAGAGGGAUGCAAGUCACAGUCCUGACCUCCUUGCAGCCUCCCUCAGCUACAGUCACCUCUGAAUUCAGGGGGACCUGGCUCAGCCCAUGCCCCAGUUCACACUCACCCAGGAAGUCCUGUGCCAGCUCCCAGGCUGGUCCCAGUCAGUUCUGGAGGCUGCCUUGCUCCUAGUGGGUCUGCACUAGGCAUUUGGUGGCCACCAGACAGAAUAAGGAUGGGGCAAGGGUGCGAUAAAAACCAGGACCCAGGGCCUAGCCCUCCCUCCACUUAGCCUUCCUUUUGGAGGUAACGCAAUUUUCUUCUACCCUGUUUACUACCAUCCAAACACACAGGCAUCUGGCAGAAACACUGGGCUCUCCUGUAAUGUGUGGGAAUUUACAAGUGCAAACGAUACGCAGCCAGGACAGACCACAGAUCAUUCGUUCAGGGCAUUUUCCUUGGCAGUCCCUGUGCAAAGUGCUUUGUAUAUAUCAUCACAUACAGUGUUCAACACAACCCUCAGGGGUAACCAUUCUUACUAUAUUCCAUCUUCUGCAAAACAGGCUCAGAAAGAGCGAGAAACCUGCUAAGGAGACACAGCUGGGGCACGGCAGAGUUGGGAUUUGAACAGUGGAGGCAUAGGACACACAGUCGUGAGCAUGACGAGGCCCCGCCUCGGGAAGUGGACACUCUGAGCGGGCGGGGGGAGGCAGGCAAUGAACAAGGAGGUUCACUCUGCACUCUGUCAGGUGGCCUCUGAGAAAGAACAGUAGGUGGAAGGUGGCAUAUAGGGCCUGCGAAGCACCAGGAGCUCUGCUGGGGGUCAGGGUGGCCAGGAUACCGGGCCCCAGAGAAGAGUAAAGUUCUCUGAGGCAUGAGGUCUCUGGGCACCUGACAGGGCUGGCUGGGAGCUUCCAGAGGGAGGAAAGGCUAGGAAGUUGAAUGUUUGGGUACCUAACAUCCGGAUAAAGGCUGAGACCUGGGGAUUUGUAGGGAAGAGACUGACAUGAGAUAUUUAAAGCCCAAGAAAAGGUAAAGAGGAGGGCCCCUGGGAUCCAUCCCAGGUCUCCCCAGGAAGGAGGUGAUAUCUCAUUUCCCAGAGACUAGAGAACUGGUGUCCUGGGUAGAGAGCACGAGGGAACCAGUUUGGCACCACUGGUAACCAAGGCAAGAGGAAACUAAUAGGUAAAUGCCCAGAUGCUCCCUGUGACCCUCCCCAUCUUGUCUGAAGGCCCUGACCCUCAGCUACCCCCUGUCUUCAGUCUCACGGACAGGACAGGACAGCAGGGUCCCCACUCACCUCCCACUCGUCCUCUCCCUGGAGGCGCCUCCCUUCAGCUCCAUACACCAACAUUAACACCACCUUUCUUAACACACACAGGGCCACAUCCACUUCCUCUCCUGCAUGUGAACCUUCCAGGGAUCCCCACUGCCUCAAGAAAAAAAAAAAAAAACUUGGCCCAGAAGUCUAUAUUCUUCCCAACCUAGUCCCACCUAAUAGCCAGCCUCCCCUCUGCUGCAAGCAUUCCCCAUUCCCACCAGGAAGAAGCUGGCAUGCGCCGUCUCUGCUGCUAAAACUGCUGUCGCCCUACUGGGCCCUGGGGGUGUGAGUUCCUGACCGUCUGCCUGGACUUGACAAGAGAAGAUACCAAGCAAAAGUAAUGAAAGAAAAAAAAAAAAGACUGCAGGAGAAUGCAGGCUGGAACCUGUCCUACAGAGGUAGACACAGCCUCACCUGGAUGCCAUUGCUUCUCCCAAGGAGAAGCCAAGAGCAGUCACCCCCAUAAGCUGUCACCAGCCCCCUCCACCCCAGGAUCAAAGCAGAGAAUGACACCACUUCAGACCCAGCAGGAGUUCCCCAUAGAGAACUGUUUGCCAGUGAAAUCUCCCCAGAGGCCUCAGAGGGAGAGGGUUUAAACCCAUCCUGCAGAAGGCAGGUGGGAAAUAGGCAGGGGCAACAGCACCCCACAUGGGGAAGAUCUCAUAUGGUGACUAACUGGCUUUUCUAGGCCAUUGUCACCAAUGCCGGAGAAAUAUUCCACUUUAAAAAUAAAUGUAAAGCAAAAUCCAAAAUUAACUCUCCCCAGAUAACCCCUUUCCAAAAAAGACCACAUCUUAAUCCACAUGUGGCCAUUCGCAUACAGUUUAACCCAAGGACAUCUCUCUGUCCUGGAUUGGGAUACUUCCCAGGCCUCCACCCCACACAUCUGGCACUUUGCAAUCUUCUCAGUCCUCCCAUGGACCCCAAUUUCAUGUCUUUCUCUAGGUGCCCCCAAGGCACGAGGGCUGCCACAGAAUCCUUGUGCUUCUCACCCCAAUCUAAAGGUGCUCGAAAACAAGUAACUUCAAGGUGUCCUUGCCACACAGACUGAUAACAAUAAAUGCAUACAGGGAGUCA